Molecule: ribosomal RNA, 423 nt
Filed under: uncultured bacterium
Lineage: Bacteria
Description: bacterial SSU rRNA
Rfam family: Bacterial small subunit ribosomal RNA
Source: RNAcentral
UGAGGAAUAUUGGACAAUGGAUGGAAAUCUGAUCCAGCCAUGCCGCGUGCAGGAAGACGGCCCUAUGGGUUGUAAACUGCUUUUGUAUGGGAGCAAUAAGGACUACGUGUAGUUUGAUGAGAGUACCAUACGAAUAAGCAUCGGCUAACUCCGUGCCAGCAGCCGCGGUAAUACGGAGGAUGCGAGCGUUAUCCGGAUUUAUUGGGUUUAAAGGGUGCGUAGGCGGAAAGAUAAGUCAGCCUGUGAAAGUUUGCGGCUCAACCGUAAAAUUGCAGUUGAUACUGCUUUUCUUGAGUGUACAUAAGGUAGGCGGAAUUCGUGGUGUAGCGGUGAAAUGCUUAGAUAUCACGAAGAACUCCGAUUGCGAAGGCAGCUUACCGGGGUACAACUGACGCUGAUGCACGAAAGUGUGGGUAUCAAACA